CCUUUUCAACCAUAACAAACAUCCGUGUCCUGGCGUGAAAUGACAGCGCAGAAGAACCAGCCAAUUGGAAGACGCGUUAAAGCGCCGUCCAAUCACAGUUAUCGUUAGAUUCACACAGUUUCCGGGUCCCAGAUCACGUGAGCAAGAACAAGCAGUUAACCGAGCAGGAGUCAUUCAGGAAAAUGUGCAGCCUCCAGGUUUGAAGGUGUGGAGCGACCCUUUCUCUAAGAAGUAAAAUUGAACUUAAUCAAGUAUUCCACCUGUAAGGAGCUGUUGCCUUCAUGGAUUUUGUACAUAUGUAAUAAACUUUAGAAUUUUUGGCUUA
This is a long non-coding RNA of Hyla sarda, 325 nucleotides long. RefSeq lists it as uncharacterized. The transcript is spliced from 3 exons. The record is from RefSeq and is a predicted model, not a curated record. NCBI's taxonomy places the organism in Eukaryota, Metazoa, Chordata, Amphibia, Anura, Hylidae.